This 258-nucleotide long non-coding RNA is filed under the name Trifolium pratense (red clover). RNAcentral describes it as "long non-coding RNA (TPRA_LNC004814)". Lineage: Eukaryota; Viridiplantae; Streptophyta; Magnoliopsida; Fabales; Fabaceae. The record is from RNAcentral.
GGGAGAGCUCGUGGGAGAGAAAGAGAAGAGCAAGCUUGUGGAUUCGUCGAGCUAAGGUACGAGAGUUAGAUUACAUAUUCGUGAGUGAUUCGGAAGAGGGGAGGAUGUCGAUUCCUCCAUUCCCAAACUUUUUCCACUCUAUUUUCUUGUGGGUUUUGUGGGUGAUUUUCUUAAUGGAAAAUGGAUUCUUUUGAUCCUAACAUGUGUAGUGAACUCAUGGUAGAUGAGGUAAACAACUUUGGGGAGUUGAAAAUGGNN